UGCGUAGGUGGUUUAAUAAGUUAACUGUGAAAUCCCUGGGCUCAACCUGGGAAGGUCAGCUAAGACUGUUAAACUCGAGUACAGGAGAGGGUAGUGGAAUUUCCGGUGUAGCGGUGAAAUGCGUAGAGAUCGGAAGGAACACCAGUGGCGAAGGCGGCUACCUGGCCUGAUACUGACACUGAGGCACGAAAGCGUGGGGAGAAAC
This 205-nucleotide ribosomal RNA is filed under the name uncultured bacterium. RNAcentral describes it as "partial 16S ribosomal RNA". It matches the Rfam family "Bacterial small subunit ribosomal RNA", at positions 568 to 772 of the family's 1533-position model. The record is from RNAcentral.